AUACGAAAGGUGCAAGCGUUGUUCGGAUUUACUGGGCGUAAAGAGAGUGUAGGUUGUUUAUUAAGUCGGAUGUGAAAUCCCGGGGCUCAACCUCGGAACUGCAUUCGAUACUGGUAGACUAGAGUUCGAGAGGGGUAAGCGGAAUUCCGUGUGUAGCAGUGAAAUGCGUAGAUAUACGGAGGAACACCUGAGGCGAAGGCGGCUUACUGGACCGAUACUGACACUGAGACUCGAAAGCGUGGGUAGCAAACAGCAUUAGAAACCCGGGUAGUCC
RNAcentral lists this ribosomal RNA (274 nucleotides) under uncultured bacterium. RNAcentral describes it as "partial 16S ribosomal RNA". It matches the Rfam family "Bacterial small subunit ribosomal RNA", at positions 523 to 796 of the family's 1533-position model. The record is from RNAcentral.